CCAAUUAAAGUUUUUAUGAACGUUAUUAUUUACAUUAAUAUGGGUUUUGGUGUAAUUCCAAUUAGUUGGA
This 70-nucleotide transfer RNA is filed under the name Polytoxus fuscovittatus. RNAcentral's name for it is "tRNA-Val". The record is from RNAcentral. Lineage: Eukaryota; Metazoa; Arthropoda; Insecta; Hemiptera; Reduviidae.